RNAcentral lists this ribosomal RNA (253 nucleotides) under uncultured bacterium. Its description in RNAcentral is "partial 16S ribosomal RNA". It matches the Rfam family "Bacterial small subunit ribosomal RNA", at positions 524 to 776 of the family's 1533-position model. The record is from RNAcentral.
UACGUAGGGGGCAAGCGUUGUCCGGAUUUAUUGGGCGUAAAGCGCACGCAGGCGGUACGGUAAGUUUUGAGUGACAGGUGGUGGCUUAACCACCGCAGGCCUUGAAAAACUGCCGCACUUGAGGGCUUGAGAGGGACGCGGAAUUCCAGGUGGAGCGGUGAAAUGCGUAGAGAUCUGGAAGAACACCAAAGGCGAAGGCAGCGUCCUGGCAAGUUACUGACGCUCAGGUGCGAAAGCUAGGGGAGCGAACGGG